GACAGAGGUGCCGAGCGUUAGGCGGAAUCACUGGGCUUAAAGCGUGUGUAGGCGGAUCGUUAAGUGCCUUGUGAAAUCCCACGGCUUAACUGUGGAACGGCUGGGCAUACUGGCGGUCUUGAGCCAUCUAGGGGCGACUGGAACAAACGGUGGAGCGGUGAAAUGCGUAGAUAUCGUUUGGAACGCCAAUGGUGAAAACAGGUCGCUGGGGAUGUGCUGACGCUGAGACACGAAAGCCAGGGGAGCAAACGGG
RNAcentral lists this ribosomal RNA (253 nucleotides) under uncultured bacterium. Its description in RNAcentral is "partial 16S ribosomal RNA". It matches the Rfam family "Bacterial small subunit ribosomal RNA", at positions 524 to 776 of the family's 1533-position model. The record is from RNAcentral.